UGCAAUGGAAAGGCUCUGCGGCAUAUA
This 27-nucleotide non-coding RNA is filed under the name Mus musculus (house mouse). Lineage: Eukaryota; Metazoa; Chordata; Mammalia; Rodentia; Muridae. The record is from RNAcentral.